RNAcentral lists this long non-coding RNA (4090 nucleotides) under Varroa destructor (honeybee mite). Its description in RNAcentral is "uncharacterized LOC111247472, transcript variant X1". Lineage: Eukaryota; Metazoa; Arthropoda; Arachnida; Mesostigmata; Varroidae. The record is from RNAcentral.
CCUAGCUAUUCUAUCCUAUCAGCCAUAUACACUCUCUGCGGAUGUUUGUGCGUGUAAGGUCGAGUACUUCCCUUUUGUACCUAGUUCGUUGUUUUCAUUGGUGCCUUCCUGCCGAACGUUACCUUAAUUGCCUCGUGGAUACGAUUAUAACCCGUGCAUCGCUUAUUGCGAACCCGUUAGUCAUUUCGUCUAAGAGGCCAUCGGUCAGCCCUGCAUUAGGAGAGGAAUAGAGUUUAAACGGGCAAAAUUGUUCUUAUUUUUACUCGGCUGUUCACUUUCAAUGAGUCCUGCGUAUCAUGUUUUCCAUUGUUUGCGCUGAUCGACGGCAGCAAGCAGCUUGCAGUAGCUAAGCAGGCCAGUCCGACCUCUUCGUUGCCGCCUGCUGCUACUGUCGUUUCAUAGAGCAACACCAAAAUCAGCAAUAAUUCCCCGGCGGCGCUCAUUGGGCCCUUCGACGGGGCGCUGGCUUUGUUCGGCUGUGCAGCGAUUCGUCGAGUAACGUACUCGCGAUGGGUCACCCGCUGGUACACAACUUUUGGCCCACAAAUAGUCGUUUUGUUUACCGGUAUCGCUAGACAAAGCGGCAAUUGCAAAUUCACCGUUUUCCGUGUGUAUGGACGAUUUGCUUUCUAAAGGGAUUAAACGCUGACUGUAGACGGUAUUAUUUUUGAGUGCAUCCGAACGCCUGGCCACGAUCGACCCAAGUUGCCGCGCCGGUCAUCAUCACGAUCGUCACCGAUCCCAAUACUGCUGCUGCUGCUGUUGUUAUCGCCGGCAUUGCUGCUGAAACCACACGUAGGAGCUCUCAAUACACAACAUGCAGCAAUAGAGGAUGGCAACGGCUCAUCGACAAGAUCCGUUCGCGCCUACGUUUCAACUGUGCGUGAGUCGACAUCGACAAGUGUCUUCAUGGCCGACGGUUACUGCGACAAUGAUACGUGUAACUCAGGGAUAGGCAGGUACAGAGUGGGGAUAAACAACGACCGGGUUCACUGCGACGCGGAACCUAUGAUGACGCCGCCGUGCGGAGACAGCAACAAUGUCCGCCACAACUAGCAAAUAACUAGCAACCAGCUAGUGUGGGACUCAACGGAAAACACGAAGGAGCAGAAGUUCGCACUGGCUACUUCCGUUGUGCGGCUCAGGUCGUAUCUUGCAGAGCGUACGCUUCAGAAGUUUCCUUAAGCGUGUGCGACGGCAGCACGUUCAACUUCGCAGUUUCGUGUGCAGAUAUAAUAAUUGCUGUAGAAUAGGAGAAUUCGACGAUUGGCAAACCGUUCAAGGAAAUCAUACGUAAGGAAUACGCAAACACUAAAAGUAAGCGGAAUAAUGUUGUGACAAUAUGGCAUAGAUAUCAAGUUUGUUUUAAUCAAAUGUUCAAAUAGAGGUGCAAGAUGUAAUGAGAAGAACCUUCCACUGUAACUCUAACUAUUUCUGUAAUUAUCAACUUGAGUGCUGUCGCAUUUCAUUGCAUGCUUCCAGUAACCUUUCGAUUUUCCUAAACAGGAAAAACAGGAUAGUCCUGUUGUCUAUAGAAACACCGGCAAAAUUUAGACACUAAUACGGAUCGCCUGGAUGUCCUGACUGCGUGCGACCGUCUUAGUGUUUAGCUAUGCUAAAAUGUCCACAAAAAAUCUAAUAAACAUGAGCCGAAACAUUUACGUAACAAUAUUAUUCAGAGCCUGGGGUUCCAAUACUCGCUAACUGCUAGAAAUACUUGAUAAUUAAGGUGUCUUAAUUUCGGUAGCUAUAUGAACUUCUAUAACUAACUUCACUGAAUACAUGAGAUGCAGAACACCUAAACGCUUCAAGCAAUUCACCCCAAAGCCGCUUUACAUCUAACAUGGGUGGGGCAAUUACGGUUUGGAGGUCAAUAAACACCUUAUAAUAUACUUACUAACUGGAGAACGCAAUGGGUCGUACAAAGAUGUCAAAUAAUUCAAAAUGACAGCGAUCUAACGUAUCAUUUGCUUUUACAGUGUACAUAUAGUGAGUGUACAGCUUGAAAAAUUCGCCAACAACAUUUCUACAAGUCUAGCCUUUUCAGUUCAUUUUUGAAUGUUCAGCGUGUAUAAGUUUUAUCAGGAACUGAAGAUGCCGGAUGCUUUUCAGGACGCCACGUAUCUGUUUUAACUUAGAGCCUAAAAUCUUAUACAGGAAUAGUCCGCACUAUUCAUUGUCUGCCACCCAUCAAAGAUAACUUAUAAUAUAGAGUUUCCUUUUUAUCUGGCCUCUCUUCUGUACUGUCGCAUGCGUACGUUCGUUCUGUUAACACUUGGAGAAGCUGAUUAUUUAGCGCUACGAAAAGUCGAAUGUAAGAGUUCUUUUUCUAUAGAGAAGUUCUAACGAGUACGUUCAUUACAGGCAAUCAAGGUGCAAGUCCACGGUAAGAUGAAGAAAUUUUCUACCGAGUACCUCAAACGGCUUCCUAAUACCUUAGUUCGAGAGUACAAACGCAAUUACAAAAAUGUUCCGGUAGCGCUCUUUUUUUUGCAGUAAACCAUAAUUAUUAGUUUCCAUUUUUCUGCCAUCGGCUAACAGAAAAUUUGUAAUCCCACGUUGUCUUUAUCCGAUACUUUCUUCAUAAUAGACUGGGGACCGUAGCAACCGUGAGUUAACCCACGGCCUUGUGGUCGUUAUGCGCAAUGUACCCAGCUGUGCACCACGAAAAAAUGCUAACAAGGGUUCCAGUUUUCGUUGUUAGCGUUGGCUGAGAAGGCCCUUCUCAAGGUGAGUGCAUGAGGACAGGACAGAGGACGGGUCGUGUUACUCGCUAGCCUAGCCUGUUGGGUUGCUUUGCGUCUACCGGAUGGUAAUUGUCAUUGUGAUGCUGAGUAGAGAUUCAAUGGCGGCUGUUGCAGCCGACAAGAGUCGUUGUGCUGUGUGCUAUGGUUCUGUGUGUACAAGGGGCAGACCCGAACGGCAGAGCCACUCCAGUCGUCGUGCAAUUGCUCCCAAGUGCACGCACAACAGCAGCAGAAACAUUCGUUAAGCCUGUGCAGUAUGUGACGCGAUCCAGCCUUAACAUCCAAGCAUUGCCUGCUAGCUUCGCCAGAUCAUUGCGGCAGAGACAUUAACGGUGGCUGGCUCGGCCGAACACUUGUAGACUUGAACGACCUCGAUGGAACGCUGUCUACCUGCCGUGCUGCUGCUGUGGUAAAUCGAGAGCUCAAACAGUAAGGAAACGUACGAGCGCCCAACUGGCAGGAAAUGUAGAACUAUUACCUGAAAUGACAACAAAUGAUAAUAUUGGACAUUUCUAUCGGCUAGAUAUAGUGCAUAGUUUAUCAUAUCCCGUCCAGGCUAUUGAAAGAUCGAGUAAAACUAAAGUUAGUUAAAAUAUACGUAUGGCUAAACUUGCACAUCGGUGGACUAUUUCAUCUAAGUGCACAAUAGCGGAAGCGACAAGGCCAAACGUGCACGAAGGUUUAUUGGGCCGUGUCUAUGAUUGCCGUGUAGGGAUGGCGUGGUAUAGCACGGUAGGCUUAAAUCAGCCGUUUCCGAAUUUUUUUCAUUGAACAGUGGUAUAAGCAGUUCUAGUAUCAAAGAGAACGCGUGCGUAGAUUAGAUCGAAGGUCACUAUUAAAUAUCGACUUAUACUCAAUUGUUUACACAUAUUAGAAAUGGGAGCCGUUUACUGCUGAAGUCGCUAAAUGUUGGUGCGGUCAUGUCAGCAUGUGUUUUUGAUUUCAGUGAUAAAUGUUGCCAGUCCGGACCGACGUACUUAGCAGCCAACGUGUAUCCUUCAAAAGAGUGGCAAAGUUUGAGGAUUGGGCACUCGUUUACCGAUAUCGAAGUAGCGGUUACGAUGAAAAUGAAACGAAUCAAUAGAUUAUGAAUCUUUAUGUAGAAGGAAGUCGUGACUCUACUUGACCGCUAUUGCUAGCCCGAUUAUCUGAUCUUUUUCUACUGUUUAAUGCUGUUACCGCUUUACGUGAAAUAGUGCCCUUUCUCUACCACUUGAGCCGACUACAAUAUUUAAUUCAUUGGCGUUGGAAGUAACGAUACAAUAGCUAACAACUGGUACACUUCUACAAAUCUUCAAUACUCGUAGCGUCUCAUUGCUGUUAGCACCAUGUACAUGUAUCAU